This 3028-nucleotide ribosomal RNA is filed under the name Salinivibrio sp. MA440. RNAcentral describes it as "bacterial LSU rRNA". It matches the Rfam family "Bacterial large subunit ribosomal RNA". Lineage: Bacteria; Pseudomonadati; Pseudomonadota; Gammaproteobacteria; Vibrionales; Vibrionaceae. The record is from RNAcentral.
GUUGUAUGGUUAAGURAYUAAGCGUAGACGGUGGAUGCCUUGGCAGUCAGAGGCGAUGAAGGACGUAUUAACUUGCGAAAAGCCCAGAUAAGGCAGUAAAAGCCAUUUGAAUCUGGGAURUCCGAAUGGGGAAACCCACCUGCAUAAGCAGGUAUCUUAGCGUGAAUACAUAGCGCUAAGAGGCGAACUCGGGGAACUGAAACAUCUAAGUACCCGAAGGAAAAGAAAUCAAUUGAGAUUCCGGCAGUAGCGGCGAGCGACCCCGGAUUAGCCCUUAAGCAGACUUGGCGUUAGGUGAACAGGUUGGAAAACCUGGCAAUAAAGGGUGAUAGCCCCGUAACCGACGGCGCCAUAUUUGUGAAAACGAGUAGGACGGGACACGUGAUAUCUUGUCUGAACAUGGGGGGACCAUCCUCCAAGGCUAAAUACUCCUGACUGACCGAUAGUGAACCAGUACCGUGAGGGAAAGGCGAAAAGAACCCCUGUGAGGGGAGUGAAAUAGAACCUGAAACCGUCUACGUACAAGCAGUGGGAGCCUCCUWGUGGGGUGACCGCGUACCUUUUGUAUAAUGGGUCAGCGACUUAAUGUUAGUAGCAAGGUUAACCGCAUAGGGGAGCCGUAGGGAAACCGAGUCUUAACUGGGCGURUAGUUGCUAGCAUUAGACCCGAAACCGAGUGAUCUAGCCAUGGGCAGGUUGAAGGUUGAGUAACAUCAACUGGAGGACCGAACUCACUAACGUUGAAAAGUUAGGAGAUGACCUGUGGCUAGGGGUGAAAGGCCAAUCAAACUCGGAGAUAGCUGGUUCUCCCCGAAAGCUAUUUAGGUAGCGCCUCGGACGAACACUACUGGGGGUAGAGCACUGUUAAGGCUAGGGGGUCAUCCCGACUUACCAACCCUUUGCAAACUCCGAAUACCAGUAAGUGCUAUCCGGGAGACACACGGCGGGUGCUAACGUCCGUCGUGGAGAGGGAAACAACCCAGACCGCCAGCUAAGGUCCCAAAGUUAUCGCUAAGUGGGAAACGAUGUGGGAAGGCUCAGACAGCCAGGAUGUUGGCUUAGAAGCAGCCAUCAUUUAAAGAAAGCGUAAUAGCUCACUGGUCGAGUCGGCCUGCGCGGAAGAUGUAACGGGGCUAAGCGAUACACCGAAGCUGCGGCAAUGUCCUUAUGGAUAUUGGGUAGGGGAGCGUUGUGUAAGCYGUUGAAGGUGUGCUGAGAGGCAUGCUGGAGGUAUCACAAGUGCGAAUGCUGACAUGAGUAACGAUAAAGGGGGUGAAAAACCUCCUCGCCGGAAGACCAAGGGUUCCUGUCCAACGUUAAUCGGGGCAGGGUAAGUCGGCCCCUAAGGCGAGGCCGAAAGGCGUAGUCGAUGGGAAACGGGUUAAUAUUCCCGUACUGCURCUUACUGCGAUGGGGGGACGGAGAAGGCUAGGUGGGCCUGGCGAUGGUUGUCCAGGUUCAAGGGUGUAGGCUGUAAUCUUAGGCAAAUCCGGGAUUACRYACGGUCGAGACCCGAUGUCGAGCCACCAAGGUGGUGAAGUCAUUGAUGCCAUGCUUCCGGGAAAAGCCUCUAAGCUUCAGGUAAGUAGGAACCGUACUCCAAACCGACACAGGUGGUCGGGUAGAGAAUACCAAGGCGCUUGAGAGAACUCGGGUGAAGGAACUAGGCAAAAUGGUACCGUAACUUCGGGAGAAGGUACGCUGCCCACGGUGAAGUCCCUUGCGGAUGGAGCUAUGGGCAGUCGCAGAUACCAGGUGGCUGCAACUGUUUAUUAAAAACACAGCACUGUGCAAAAUCGAAAGAUGACGUAUACGGUGUGACGCCUGCCCGGUGCCGGAAGGUUAAUUGAUGUGGUUAUCGCAAGAGAAGCCAUUGAUCGAAGCCCCGGUAAACGGCGGCCGUAACUAUAACGGUCCUAAGGUAGCGAAAUUCCUUGUCGGGUAAGUUCCGACCUGCACGAAUGGCGUAAUGAUGGCCACGCUGUCUCCACCCGAGACUCAGUGAAAUUGAAAUCGCAGUGAAGAUGCUGUGUACCCGCGGCUAGACGGAAAGACCCCGUGAACCUUUACUACAGCUUGGCACUGAACAUUGAGCCUACAUGUGUAGGAUAGGUGGGAGGCUUUGAAACGGCGACGCCAGUUGUCGUGGAGCCAUCCUUGAAAUACCACCCUUGUAUGUUUGAUGUUCUAACUUAGCCCCSUUAUCSGGGGUGAGGACAGUGCCUGGUGGGUAGUUUGACUGGGGCGGUCUCCUCCCAAAGYGUAACGGAGGAGCACGAAGGUGGGCUAAUCACGGUCGGACAUCGUGAGGUUAGUGCAAUGGCAUAAGCCCGCUUAACUGCGAGAGUGACGGCUCGAGCAGGUACGAAAGUAGGUCAUAGUGAUCCGGUGGUUCUGAAUGGAAGGGCCAUCGCUCAACGGAUAAAAGGUACUCCGGGGAUAACAGGCUGAUACCGCCCAAGAGUUCAUAUCGACGGCGGUGUUUGGCACCUCGAUGUCGGCUCAUCACAUCCUGGGGCUGAAGUCGGUCCCAAGGGUAUGGCUGUUCGCCAUUUAAAGUGGUACGCGAGCUGGGUUUAGAACGUCGUGAGACAGUUCGGUCCCUAUCUGCCGUGGGCGUUGGAUGAUUGAGGGGAGCUGCUCCUAGUACGAGAGGACCGGAGUGGACGAACCGCUGGUGUUCGGGUUGUGUCGCCAGACGCAUUGCCCGGUAGCUAAGUUCGGCACAGAUAAGCGCUGAAAGCAUCUAAGCGCGAAGCUGGCCCCGAGAUGAGUCAUCCCUAGAGCUUCGAGCUCUCUAAAGGGCUUGUGUCGCCAGACGCAUUGCCCGGUAGCUAAGUUCGGCACAGAUAAGCGCUGAAAGCAUCUAAGCGCGAAGCUGGCCCCGAGAUGAGUCAUCCCUAGAGCUUCGAGCUCUCUAAAGGGUUGUUCUAGACUAGAACGUUGAUAGGCAGGGUGUGUAAGCGCUGUGAGGCGUUGAGCUAACCUGUACUAAUUGCCCGUGMGGCUUAACCAUACAACACCCAAG